Non-coding RNA from Paramuricea clavata, 1172 nucleotides. Lineage: Eukaryota; Metazoa; Cnidaria; Anthozoa; Malacalcyonacea; Plexauridae. The record is from the annotation of a GenBank genome assembly.
AAACCUUUAACUUGUCCUUGUUUAUAAUCCACUAUUGUAUAUAAAAUUCGCUGGGUCCAAAUUUUGGGGUUUUCGAGUCGUUAUACAAAGAAAAAUACAUUAAUUCAACACGCAAGAGAGUCCAGAGUGCGACACAACGUAAAAUCCAUAGGAAUGAAACUUGAUCGUGCUUCUCCUCCAUACUUGUUACCAGGCCUUUCAAUGUCAAAACCGCGCAAACUUUCAAGAUGGCGGAUGUCAAAAUUUCCCGACUGCAGUCAGUGUAGCAAGAAUACCAGUUGAAUAGUUUCUUUAUGCAUGAGCAUAAUAUAUAUCGGAUAUAGCUUCGUCUGACCACAUUUUCCCUCGUCGCCUCGAUAUUUUGUUUGCACAGACACAAUAUUUUUGCAAUGUGAGAAACAAAACCAUUUUUAAGCGGGCCGAGACUACCUCCUAAGGAGGUCUCGGCCCGCCUAAAAUUUUGGGUACGCGGGCCCCUUUAAUUUUGCGUUUACAUGACAAAAAUCAGGAGUACCGUGCGCAAAAAAUGGCUCCGCGUGCCAAAAUUUAAGCGUGCCAUGCUCAAAAUGACUGUCGUGUAAACCUUCGGUUCUCGGGCUGCUUCUGAGACCUCGGGAAAAUAGUUCAACUUUCAUGCUCUGUUUUAUAGAAAUUAUUCUCGAAAAACACCGUAAUACUUUCGAAAAAAGCUGCCAUAGCUGGCAGCAAAAAACGUUUUGUCAAUUUUCUGGCCGCGUUUUUUCCUGUCUCUAUAUAGUUAGGGUCAGGGUUGUAUAUAUAGGUCUCCCGAAAAUUGCUUUAAUUAAUGCAACGCUUCAAUCUACAUUAAACCUCUAUAAUUCGUAUUACAUGAAGUACAUGUAACACAGUGUAUAGCGUUGCAUCAAUGAUAGCCUGAUCUCAGGUUACAUCACUAUGGUUUCCUAUGGUUUCCUAGGAAAUUUAUACUAAAUAUUAUUCUUAAUCGAUUCUGAUUUAAUAUUUGGAAUUAUUGUAAAUAUACUGUAAUUAUAGGAAUUGUUAUAUUGGAAAAACACAUAAACUAUCCAUUAUUUCAAUGACCUACUCAUUAAAUGAAUUACUUAUUAACUAGAAAAUACAUGCAUGCAGAAACCCUCGCCUUGCUGAAUUCCAAACAUGAAGUAUUGUCAUGGUAACACGAUAAUUUUAAG